RNAcentral lists this microRNA precursor (99 nucleotides) under Marmota monax (woodchuck). The record is from RNAcentral. Lineage: Eukaryota; Metazoa; Chordata; Mammalia; Rodentia; Sciuridae.
AAUGCAAUGGCUGGGUUAUAUGGCAAGUGGAUGUGCAGUUUUAGAGAAAUCAUGAUACUCUUUCCAGAGUGGCUGUGCUAUUACAUUCCCACCAGCAAG